This 348-nucleotide ribosomal RNA is filed under the name uncultured fungus. RNAcentral describes it as "SSU rRNA". It matches the Rfam family "Eukaryotic small subunit ribosomal RNA", at positions 20 to 370 of the family's 1831-position model. Lineage: Eukaryota; Fungi. The record is from RNAcentral.
GUAGUCAUAUGCUUGUCUCAAAGAUUAAGCCAUGCAUGUCUAAGUAUAAGCAAUCUAUACUGUGAAACUGCGAAUGGCUCAUUAAAUCAGUUAUCGUUUAUUUGAUAGUACCUUACUACAUGGAUACCUGUGGUAAUUCUAGAGCUAAUACAUGCUAAAAACCCCGACUUCAGGAAGGGGUGUAUUUAUUAGAUAAAAAACCAACGCCCUUCGGGGCUCCUUGGUGAAUCAUAAUAACUUAACGAAUCGCAUGGCCUUGCGCCGGCGAUGGUUCAUUCAAAUUUCUGCCCUAUCAACUUUCGAUGGUAGGAUAGUGGCCUACCAUGGUGGCAACGGGUAACGGGGAAU